Molecule: ribosomal RNA, 423 nt
Filed under: uncultured bacterium
Lineage: Bacteria
Description: bacterial SSU rRNA
Rfam family: Bacterial small subunit ribosomal RNA
Source: RNAcentral
UGAGGAAUAUUGGUCAAUGGGCGCAAGCCUGAACCAGCCAUCCCGCGUGCAAGAAGACGGCCCUAUGGGUUGUAAACUGCUUUUCCAGGGGGAGAAUUUUUCUGUCGCGACAGGAAUUGACGGUACCCUGGGAAUAAGCAUCGGCUAACUCCGUGCCAGCAGCCGCGGUAAUACGGAGGAUGCGAGCGUUAUCCGGAUUUAUUGGGUUUAAAGGGUGCGUAGGCGGAUUGAUAAGUCAGUAGUGAAAACCUGCAGCUUAACUGUAGACUUGCCGUUGACACUGUCAGUCUUGAGUGUGGUCAAGGUAGGCGGAAUGUGUAAUGUAGCGGUGAAAUGCUUAGAUAUUACACAGAACACCGAUUGCGAAGGCAGCUUACUGGGCCAUUACUGACGCUGAUGCACGAAAGCGUGGGGAUCGAACAG